GACGAACGCUGGCGGCGUGCUUAACACAUGCAAGUCGAACGGAAAGGCCCCUUCGGGGGUCCUCGAGUGGCGAACAGGUGAGUAACACGUGAGUAACCUGCCCUUGACUUCGGGAUAACUUCAGGAAACUGGGGCUAAUACCGGAUAGGAAUCCUUGCUGCAUGGUGGGGGUUGGAAAGCUUCGGCGGUUUUGGAUGGACUCGCGGCUUAUCAGCUUGUUGGUGGGGUAGUGGCUUACCAAGGCUUUGACGGGUAGCCGGCCUGAGAGGGCGACCGGCCACAGUGGGACUGAGAUACGGCCCAGACUCCUACGGGAGGCAGCAGGGGGGAAUAUUGCACAAUGGGCGGAAGCCUGAUGCAGCAACGCCGCGUGCGGGAUGACGGCCUUCGGGUUGUAAACCGCUUUCAGCAGGGGCGAAGCUUGUGGUGACGGUACCUGCAGAAGAAGCACCGGCUAACUACGUG
RNAcentral lists this ribosomal RNA (465 nucleotides) under uncultured bacterium. RNAcentral's name for it is "partial 16S ribosomal RNA". It matches the Rfam family "Bacterial small subunit ribosomal RNA", at positions 28 to 507 of the family's 1533-position model. The record is from RNAcentral.